AUGGUGCCUUUCUUUGGGUCUGCAUUUCGUCUACUACUUCUCCCACCCAGCAGGUGUGCUUGGUCUGCAGUGACGACCUUUGGGCCAACAACACAUGGACAUUUCACAGAUAAACUAUUGCAUCAGAAAUUUGCUUGGCGAAGAUCUGGGACACUCGGGUACAUUAGACCCACGAGGCAACGCGACGGAGGCCAUGCACUCAAGUGGGAGGCGGAGCUCGCCUCCCCCAAUGACGACGGCUUCGACCUCAAGUGGAAGUGGGAGGCCAAGUCCAAGCCAUGCGCUGCCGGCAAGGUCGAAACCAAGUGGGGCGCCGAGGAAGCCAACAAGGAUGACAAUAAUCCGGCAAGAAAGUGCGUCCAGAUCAAGGAGAUCUCCACCGGCUGCGACGUCCAAAUAGAGGUACUCGACAGAAAUUUGAAAUUGUUGUGA
This 432-nucleotide ribosomal RNA is filed under the name Triticum aestivum (bread wheat). RNAcentral's name for it is "partial small subunit ribosomal RNA". The record is from RNAcentral. Lineage: Eukaryota; Viridiplantae; Streptophyta; Magnoliopsida; Poales; Poaceae.